This 433-nucleotide ribosomal RNA is filed under the name uncultured bacterium. Its description in RNAcentral is "partial 16S ribosomal RNA". It matches the Rfam family "Bacterial small subunit ribosomal RNA", at positions 29 to 507 of the family's 1533-position model. The record is from RNAcentral.
AACGAACGCUGGCGGCAUGCCUAACACAUGCAAGUCGAACGAGACCUUCGGGUCUAGUGGCGCACGGGUGCGUAACGCGUGGGAACCUGCCCUUAGGUUCGGAAUAACUCCCCGAAAGGGGUGCUAAUACCGGAUAAUGUCUUCGGACCAAAGAUUUAUCGCCUUUGGAUGGGCCCGCGUUGGAUUAGCUAGUUGGUAGGGUAAAAGCCUACCAAGGCGACGAUCCAUAGCUGGUCUGAGAGGAUGAUCAGCCACACUGGGACUGAGACACGGCCCAGACCCCGAGGGGAGGCGGGAGGGGGAAAUAUGGGACAGUGGGGGAAGGCCUGAUCAAGCAUUGCCGGGUGAGGAAUGAAGGCCUUGGGGUUGUAAAGCUUUUUUCCCCGGGAUGAUAAUGACAGUACCGGGAAAAUAAGCCCCGGCUAACCCCGUG